Molecule: long non-coding RNA, 2082 nt
Filed under: Salmo salar (Atlantic salmon)
Lineage: Eukaryota; Metazoa; Chordata; Actinopteri; Salmoniformes; Salmonidae
Description: lncRNA (ENSSSAG00000085610.1)
Source: RNAcentral
GUGAAAUGCUGAAUACAACAGGUGUAGUAGACCUCACAGUGAAAUGCUGAAUACAACAGGUGUAGUAGACCUCACAGUGAAAUGCUGAAUACAACAGGUGUAGUAGACCUCACAGUGAAAUGCUGAAUACAACAGGUGUAGUAGACCUCACAGUGAAAUGCUGAAUACAACAGGUGUAGUAGACCUCACAGUGAAAUGCUGAAUACAACAGGUGUAGUAGACCUUACAGUGAAAUGCUGAAUAGGUAGGGGUACCAGGUAGUAGAGGUAAUAUGUACAUGUAGGUAGGGGUACCAGGUAGUUGUAGGUAAUAUAAUGUAGGUAGGGGUACCAGGUAGUAGAGGUAAUAUAAUGUAGGUAGGGGUACCAGGGGUACCAGGUAGUUGAGGUAAUAUGUACAUGUAGGUAGGGGUACCAGGUAGUAGAGGUAAUAUAAUGUAGGUAGGGGUACCAGGUAGUAGAGGUAAUAUAAUGUAGGUAGGGGUACCAGGUAGUUGAGGUAAUAUAAUGUAGGUAGGGGUACCAGGUAGUUGAGGUAAUAUAAUGUAGGUAGGGGUACCAGGUAGUAGAGGUAAUAUAAUGUAGGUAGGGGUACCAGGUAGUUGGGUAGGUAAUAUAAUGUAGGUAGGGGUACCAGGUAGUAGAGGUAAUAUAAUGUAGGUAGGGGUAAAGUGUGUAGACCCCUGUAGAGACGGGAGCUAAUGUAUGACACACACAAAGGCAGACACGCAUACACACACACACACACACACACACACACACACACACACACACACACACACACACACACACACACACAGUACAAUGCAGUGGAAGGAAGCUAGGUCACCAACAGUACAAUGCAGUGGAAGGAAGCUAUGACUCACAGUCAGGGUUGGAGAAUAACUGAUUAUAUGUAAUAUAUUAUGUAAUCAGUUAUGUCAUAAUGUAUGCACUGAACAAAAACAUAAACACAACAUGUAAAGUGUUGGUCCCAUGUUUCAUGAGCUGAAAUAAAAGAUCCCAAAAAUUUUACAUAAGCACAAAAAAUAUCUUGCACAAAUUUGUUUACAUCCCUGUUAGUGAGCAUUUCUCCUUUGCCAAGAUUAUCCAUCCACCUGACAGGUGUGGCAUAUCAAGAAGCUGAUUAAACAGCAUGAUCAUUACACAGGUGCACCUUGGGCUGGGGACAAUAAAAGCCACUCUAAAAUGAGCAGUUUUGUCACACAACACAAUGCCACAGAUGUGUCAGGUUUUGAGGGAGCGUGCAAUUCGUAUACUGACUGCAGGAAUGCCCACCAGAGCUAUUGCCAAAUAAUUGAAUGGUCAUUUCUCUACCAUAAACCGCCUCCAAUGGUGUUUUAGAGCUUUUGCCAGUACAUCCAACCAGCCUCACAACAGUACCAGUCAAAAGCAUUCCAGGUGACUACCUCAAAGAUGGUUGAGAGAAUGCAAAGCUGUCAUCAAGGCUAUUUGAAGUUCGUUUUUUUGGUUACUACAUGAUUCCAUAUGUGUUAUUUCAUAGUUUUGAUGUCUUCACUAUUAUUCUACAAUGUCGAAAAUUGUAAAAAGAAAAGAAAAACCCUGGAAUGAGUAGGUGUGUCCAAACUUUUGACCGGUAGUGUGUGUGUCCCAACAAAGGAGAACUCAUUGAUCUGGUACUCCUUGUACAUAGAGUUGGAGUCGGAAGUUUACAUACACUUAGAUUGGAGUCAUUAAAACUAGUUUUUCAAUAACUUCACAAAGGUCUUGUAAACAAACUAUAGUUUUGGCAAGUCGGUUAGGACAUCUACUUUGUGAAUGACACAAGUAAUUUUUCCAACAAUUGUUUACAGACAGAUUAUUUCACCUAUAAUUCAUUGUAUCACAAUUCCAGUGGGUCAGAGGUUUACAUACACUAAGUUGACUGUGCUUUUAAACAGCUUGGAAGAUUCCAGAAAAUGAUGUCAUGGCUUUAGAAGCUUCUGAUAGGCUAAUUGACAUAAUUUGAGUCAAUUGGAGGUGUACCUGUGGAUGUAUUUCAAGGCCUACCUUCGAACUCAGUGCCUCUUUGCUUGACAUCAUGGGAAAAUCAAAAGAAAUUAGCCAAGACCUCAGAAAAGAA